UUUAACUCUCCAGGUGACCCUAACGUGCAGCCACUGCUGCAAUCCACCCCCAAUCAAGCCAGUCCCCAGUGAACUGUGGGCAUUCACUCAUAACUGGCACAGCCAUCCCCUGAAAUCUGUUGCGAGGAACAAUACUCAAAGGCUAACUACAGUGAAAUAUGUUUAUAAGAUGAGUUGUAAGUUUGUCAUAGCUUUACUUGGCCUAAUGGUUAACUACAUCAAAAGAAAAAAAAAUCAUAAAUAUAACAUGAUUUAUUAAGCUUUAACUAAAGUACACUUCUCAUGUAAGCCCACAGUGGGUUCUCAGAAGAGAAUGAGUAGAGCUGAAGUUUCAAGAGAAACACAACAACAAAAAGGCAAAAUUGACCAAGACAGAAGAGUGGAGGAAAGUUACAAUUCUUGCAGCUGGGACUAUGGGCAUGCUACCAUGCCUGGCUAAUUUUUAAAUUUAUUUUGUAGUAGAGACAGUGUCUCACUAUGUUGCCCAGGCUGGCCUUGAACUCCUGCCCUCAAGGGAUCCCAAAUAAAUAUAUUUAUUUCUAAAUUCAUUCUAAAUGUUUGCAAUGUUAAGUAUGUGUGGCAAAAGAACAGAUACCUUUCAUUUUUUCAAUCACCUUUCAAAUAUUGUUACAAAAGCACAUAUUACUGUGAAAUAGUCGUAAUUUCAGAAAGAAAUUAUUCUUCAUUCAACUUCUCUUAAGAUUUUUAAUUAAACUUUUUAUUUUGAAAACAUUCAGAACCUCUCUAUAUUCUACACAUUUACAGUGCAAUUAUCAAAUUUAGAAAACUUAACAUUGACACAAUGCUAUUAUCUAAUAUGUGGUGAAUAUUCAAAUUUUGUUGAUGGUUACAAAAUUGCCUUUUUCUGAAGUGCUCAGGGUCUUUUUGUUUUGCUGACGUCUCAGUUUGGGUAUCACUUGGUUAAGGUGGUGUCAUCCAGAGUUAUCUUCUGGAAAGGCACCUUCUAUCUUGGAUAGGAAGGAAUUUAAGAGCAGGCACUAGGCAACUGUAAAUAUCACCCCACAAUUCCACUGAAUGAUAUUAAUAUUCAGCGACGAUCUUUGCCCGGGCCAACAAUUAUUAUGGUGGUUUCAAAGCCCUGGCCAACAUGGCGAAACCUCAUCUCUACUGAAAAUACUAAAAUUAGUGGGGCGUGGUGGCGAACGCCUGUAAUCCCAGCUACUUGGGAGGCUGAGGGAGGAGAAUCGCUUGAACCUAGGAGGCAGAGGUUACAGUGAGCCAAGAUCAUGCCACUGCACCCCAGCCUGGGCGACAGAGCAAGACUCCGUUUUGAAAAAAUAAAAUAAAAUAAAUAAAAUUCCUCCCUACGAGACAUGAUACCACUAACUCACCCCUCUUCCCAAAUUUGCAAAUCAAGUUAUUAAAGCUCUUUUCAAUUCAUUUUUCCUUUCUGAACAAUGACUAUUUAAUAUAAAGAGUUAACUCGUUCUGUUUUUCAAUACAAAUAAGAAUUACAAACUGUAGAGCUAUUUCUAGCAGAAGUACUUUCUUACGGAACCAAUUUUUCUUCUGAUUAAUUCAAAUUUAUUUUAAACGUGUGAAAGAAUUUCAAAUACUGUUACACAGAUAUUCUAAAUGUCUAAAAUCAACUCUGAAAUAAAGUCCCUACCUGGAGCCUCCCUGGCUCACUUUCUCUUCCUUAGCUAUUCUCUUUUUCUUUCUUCCUGUAUUUUUUCAUUGCAAAUCUUAAAGUCGUGGUAAGACCGAAAACAAGCAAACAAUUAACUGCACAAGGUAACCCCCAUUAGAGAUAGUGCUGUGAAUACCUGCAGAGGGGGCUGUGGAAACAGUGACAGGCUGCACAUGGGGUGGGGGUGGGAGUGAGGAAGACCCAGGAGGGGCCUGGCAGGGGAGCCAGAAGGGCAAAGAGCAGCAGGAGCUCCGCAGGACUUAGUGGGUGAGCAGGCGGGCGAGUGAGGGUCUUGCGGGGUGCCGGGAGCAGGCGGGCGAGCGAGGGUCUUGCGGGGUGCUGGGAGCCCGCAGGACUUAGUGGGUGAGCAGGCGGGCGAGCGAGGGUCUUGCGGGGUGCUGGGAGUGGAUGCGCUAAAGUCUGAGAAGUGGCCAGGGUCCUGAUCGCCGGGGGGUCUGUCGUCCUCAGGGAGGAGCUGGACUUUCCGGCCAGCACAAAGCAAAGCCCUUUGAUGAGAUGCUUUGCUUCAGAAGUCACCUUGGCAGCUGCGUCAGGGAACGGAUGUAGCGGCUCAAGAGUGAACCCGGAAAGGCUCCUAAGGAGGUCCCUGCCUCAGUCCAGGCAAGGCUGUGGCCUAGACGAGGUGGCGGGCUCGUGUGGAUGUGGAGAGAGGUGGGUUUUAGGGGUAGAGCUGGUCCGACUUCCUGAUAAGUAGAUACGGAGUGGGAGGAGUCAGGAGGUCUGUUCCGGGCCCGCCAUUGUGGAGCCGGAAGGGAGGCCACGCUGACAGGGAAGCUGCUGUGAGGUGAAGAAGGUUCGCUGGUUUUCUGGCCCGUACCUGUGCAGGGGUCCCAGGGCCCGGUACUCUGUUCUUUGGCGGGAGCUGGUUGACCUUGUCUGAGGUCAUUGUUCAUCUACGCAUCAGGGUCCUUCUAUGAGUCUUCGAAGCCAGAACUAGCGAAGAGAGUCAGUCCAGCCCCUCCACGUUCCCUUCACUUUCUUGAGGAAGAAGGUCUGCAACAGGACCAUGUAAAACCAACGCGGAGGAGGAGAGAGAGAGAGAGACGGAGGGGAGACAGGGAGAGACGGAGCGAGAAGGGAGACAGAACGAGAGAGAGGGAGGGAGAGGGGGAGAGAAGACAGGGAAGGAUGGCGGGGAGGGAGAGAGGAAGAGAUAGGGAGAAAGACAGGGAGGGAGAGGAAGAGGCAGAGAGAGAAAGGGAGAGAGAGGGA
This 2884-nucleotide long non-coding RNA is filed under the name Homo sapiens (human). RNAcentral describes it as "non-protein coding lnc-EXOC2-21:5". Lineage: Eukaryota; Metazoa; Chordata; Mammalia; Primates; Hominidae. The record is from RNAcentral.